AUGUACAACACCAUUGGUGGUUUUUUCAGGCAGAAAGGGGUCCUGCGGAAUCUGUGUGGGCAGAUCAGCAGAGACAAAAGCAGAUCAAUGCCGGGCGAUGGAGGACUUGCGCUGACCGUGCCCAAAGAGCACCUCGGACACGCCGGGAAGAACCGACUACCAAAGACCACGCCGCGACCCAAGCUCCUCUCGACGCCAUCAUCGUUGCCAAACAGAAACCAACGCCCCGCCUCAGCAAACCACGCGGCGAAGAUGCCGCCAUCGACGGUGAAGAUGCCAUCAUCCUCCAGUCUCUUAGUCGUAGCCGGCUCCGAGACGAUGCUCCCAAGGAGGAGAAAGACGCGAAGACGCCUCCAUCGCCCGAUCCAACGGAUCUGA
RNAcentral lists this ribosomal RNA (378 nucleotides) under Triticum aestivum (bread wheat). Its description in RNAcentral is "partial small subunit ribosomal RNA". Lineage: Eukaryota; Viridiplantae; Streptophyta; Magnoliopsida; Poales; Poaceae. The record is from RNAcentral.